RNAcentral lists this long non-coding RNA (596 nucleotides) under Capsicum annuum. RNAcentral describes it as "long non-coding RNA (CANN_LNC011180)". Lineage: Eukaryota; Viridiplantae; Streptophyta; Magnoliopsida; Solanales; Solanaceae. The record is from RNAcentral.
GACAAAAUCAUAAAAUCAAUCUCACAAUAAUGAAAAAAGAAAACCUAAACAUAAAAUUGAAUAAUCAACCAAAAAUAAGAACAUAAGAGGAUCCCAAGAUCAUAAUUCAAUCUUGGAAUCAAAAGAUGUUUGUAAGAGUUUAAAGUUUCCCCCAAAGGUGUAUCUUGACAUAAACUAAUUAGAAAAAUAUAUAAAUUGUAUUUAUAGAUUACAUGGAAACCCUAAAAAUCAAAUCUUAAACAAAGGAGGAAAAAUUAAAUAGUCAUACAUAAUAAUGAUUAAAAACAUCAUAGCACUAUAUAUAGGCUACAUGAAAACCCAAGGAAAUAAAUCCAAAACGAUCUAGGAAUAGUGAGUCGGCGGCAACCUACGGAUCCACCUACAGGCCAUAGGUGGUACUAUUCCCCUUAGGUGGGUGGCCAUAGGUGGUGCCUACAAAAUUACUCUAUGUACUUCAAUUUAUGGUACCUACACCGCUAUAUACGCCCCUUAGGUGGUACCUACGGGGCGUAGGUGCCUAGGUGUGUAGUCAUUUUUCCACUUUUCGUUUCAUUUUUUUUAGUUAGCUUCCAACACCUAGUUUCCUAUAAAAUCAC